GGGUUGGCUUCAGUAUUCUGCUGGGUGAGAUUGUAAACCCUACCCUGGAUAAAAGGUCUGCCCUGAUUCUGGUUCCUUAUGCACUCUCUCGCAUAAUGUCAGGCACUACCACAUAUGCGACAGGUGUUAUUGAGGUGGUAGCAGGGUCGGUCCCCAUGAUCCCUGCCAUAAUGCUGACAGAUCUUACUACGUCCUGCCAUUGGAGCCUGAGGGGGAGCCUGGAUCACCGGC
Molecule: long non-coding RNA, 231 nt
Filed under: Carica papaya (papaya)
Lineage: Eukaryota; Viridiplantae; Streptophyta; Magnoliopsida; Brassicales; Caricaceae
Description: long non-coding RNA (CPAP_LNC012827)
Source: RNAcentral